GCACCCCAGCGAAACCCUGUCAGUGUUGGACAUCGGCAUUGACGGUGCAAUAGUGACUCAAAAGUAUAUCCAGAUGGACCUCCCUCUCCAAUUGGAGCCUGUCUCUACAACAAUGAGACAAAA
This is a small nucleolar RNA of Hucho hucho (huchen), 123 nucleotides long. The record is from Ensembl. Lineage: Eukaryota; Metazoa; Chordata; Actinopteri; Salmoniformes; Salmonidae.